Long non-coding RNA from Choloepus didactylus (southern two-toed sloth), 2233 nucleotides. RefSeq lists it as uncharacterized. The transcript is spliced from 3 exons. Lineage: Eukaryota; Metazoa; Chordata; Mammalia; Pilosa; Megalonychidae. The record is from RefSeq and is a predicted model, not a curated record.
GCUAGUGUCUUUGGCUGUCUGAAUGGCUAGUUCCCUCGCCUGUCCCUAACAUUUUGCUUUCCUGCCUCUUCAACCAAGCAGGGGAAGAACUUCUCAAACAAUUCUGCCUUGAGACCUGGAGAUGGGAUUUGGUGCAUUGUGACAAGCUUCUCUUAGCUUACACACAGAGCUGCUGCCCCCAUGGCUCCUGCUCACCACCAUUACUUGUAUAUCUCUACUUCUGAGACCAUGCUAUGAUCUGUACCUUCUCUGUGUGUGUAUCAUAUGGAAAGUCCCUAAGAAUGAAGACCGCCUCUAUGGUCGGUGAAGCCUGAUAUCUGCUCCAAUAUGCUGGGGCCUAGUUCCAACUUAACAGAUAUUGCUUCUGGCAAGAUUUCCACGCCAUCUUCUCCCCUACUGGUUAGAGUCCCUCACGAGUGGCCCCACAGCAUGCUGGCACAUCACUCACGUUCCUGGCAGCAAACAGAAGACCUGGUCUAAACGGGUCAUGGAGAGAACUUCAUGAUGGACUAUUUUCAAAGAUAUGGGCAGGAUUACAGAAACCCAACAGGGGAAGCUAGAGCACCCUUGGCUAGGCAUCACGGAAACCAUGAUCAUUUCUAGGCCUGAAGGGACAAGAAGAGGAAGGAGUGCCUGGAACCCAGAGAAGGCUCCUGACAGAAGCUUUGUUAGAGGAAGUCCUCCUUACUCCCCUCCCAUUCUUCAUCUCCUGUUGGAGCCUUCUGCUGGUCAACCCUAUGGGAAGCCAGGAGGUGAGGUUGCCCUUUGGUACUGUUCAUAAAGCUCAGCAUCCGGAGGUCUAGAGCAAGCUGAAGAAUGCACCUGAGGGGUAGACUGAAGAUACCAGCACCCCAGCUUACCUCUGUGCAGUACCCGCCCCCGGUGUCGUCUUGCCUGCUGCCAUCUUGGUUUCCCACAUGCUCACAGAACAUCCUUGAAAUCGGAAACUGUGCCUUAUCUCUUUGGGGGAAAUACCUCCAGGAAAUAACUGGAUGGGGGAAAAUCAGUAAUGUGUACAUUCAUAUUUACAACACCUCUAUAACACUGGAGAAUAGAAAUGCCCCCAUGUGUGAAGGAAUUUGGCAAACCAGCCAGGAUGAGUCAUUAUACAGCCAUGAAAGACUCUCGCACAGACUCUUUUAACUCCUGUAAGUGGGGGUGGAGAAUAAUAAAUGACGAAAAGAAAUCACACUGAUUAUAAAUGGGCCAAAAUGUAUAGAUGUGGCUUGACAAGGAUAAGAGAUGAAAGGCACAUAUAUUCACAAUAAUUAAGAAAACUCACAAAAUGUUAAAUCCCACCGUUUAAGGGAAAACAGCAAACUUCUGAUAGAAUUUGUCACCAAAAUGAAUGCAAAGUAAUGAGAAUAGGAUUGUUCACAACAUUAAAAAAAAAAGGAGCGUGUGUGUGUGUGUGUGUGACAGCUUAUUUAAGGAGGCUAUAUUGGGGAAAGCCACUCUGCUUUUGUCAGCCCCCUCCAUGCCCUCCAAUAUUCUCAUUAGAUAUGAAGCACUUUUUCCGAUAUCCUGUGAAAUUGUUUGCUCAGACACAGCAAAGGGUCUUUGAAGUUUCUUGAACUUUAAUGUGUAUAUGAAUCACCUGGGGAUCUUGGUAAAAUGUGGUUCUGACUCUCCAGGUCUGAGUGGAGCCUGCAAUUUUGCAUUUCUAUCAAGAUCCCAGAUGAAGCUGAUGCUACCGGUUUCUGACCACAGUCUGAGUAGCAAGGCUUUAAAUCACUGGGAUUUGUUUGUUUUUUUGUGUGUGUUGUUACCUUUAAAAACUUACACUUGCUGUUGAUAAAUAUACAGUUUGUACUUCCUUGUCACCCACUUUUGGGAAUUGAAUAACGUUCUCCACAAAAGACAUGUUCAAGUCUUAAUCCACAUUCCUGUGGGUGUGAGCCCAACUGUAAAUAGGACCUUUAAAGAUGUUAUUAGGAGUUCACCCUAAUUAAAGGGUGAACUCAUUUGUGACUAGGAUCUUGGAAGAUCCUGUUUAGAUGGGGCCAAAGUGAAUCAGGGUGGGCCUUGAUCCAUAUGGCAAAGUGUUUAUAAACAGGAAACCUAGACAGAGAUGCAAACAAAUGAGCAGGAACAGGAGAAGCCAUGUUGUGGGAUCAGAGUUGCCAGCCAAGGAACCCCGGGGAUUGCUGGCAGCCAGCACCACAAUACUACAGACUUUGGGAGAAAGCAUGGCCUGUUGAGAACUUGAUUUUGGACUUCUGGACUCCAAAAC